RNAcentral lists this ribosomal RNA (241 nucleotides) under uncultured Staphylococcus sp. RNAcentral's name for it is "partial 16S ribosomal RNA". It matches the Rfam family "Bacterial small subunit ribosomal RNA", at positions 99 to 334 of the family's 1533-position model. Lineage: Bacteria; Bacillati; Bacillota; Bacilli; Caryophanales; Staphylococcaceae. The record is from RNAcentral.
CGGACGGGUGAGUAACACGUGGAUAACCUACCUAUAAGACUGGGAUAACUUCGGGAAACCGGAGCUAAUACCGGAUAAUAUAUUGAACCGCAUGGUUCAAUAGUGAAAGACGGUUUUGCUGUCACUUAUAGAUGGAUCCGCGCCGCAUUAGCCAGUUGGUAAGGUAACGGCUUACCAAGGCAACGAUGCGUAGCCGACCUGAGAGGGUGAUCGGCCACACUGGAACUGAGACACGGUCCAG